RNAcentral lists this ribosomal RNA (404 nucleotides) under uncultured bacterium. Its description in RNAcentral is "bacterial SSU rRNA". It matches the Rfam family "Bacterial small subunit ribosomal RNA", at positions 355 to 776 of the family's 1533-position model. The record is from RNAcentral.
UGGGGAAUAUUGGACAAUGGGCGCAAGCCUGAUCCAGCCAUGCCGCGUGAGUGAUGAAGGCCUUAGGGUUGUAAAGCUCUUUCGUCAGGGAAGAUAAUGACGGUACCUGAAGAAGAAGCCCCGGCUAACUUCGUGCCAGCAGCCGCGGUAAUACGAAGGGGGCUAGCGUUGUUCGGAAUUACUGGGCGUAAAGCGCACGUAGGCGGACUUGUCAGUCAGGGGUGAAAUCCCGAGGCUUAACCUCGGAACUGCCUUUGAUACUGCAAGUCUUGAGGAUGAGAGAGGUAAGUGGAACUGCGAGUGUAGAGGUGAAAUUCGUAGAUAUUCGCAAGAACACCAGUGGCGAAGGCGGCUUACUGGCUCAUUUCUGACGCUGAGGUGCGAAAGCGUGGGGAGCAAACAGG